AGAGGUUAUCCGUGUUUCUUCG
This 22-nucleotide microRNA is filed under the name Canis lupus familiaris (dog). Lineage: Eukaryota; Metazoa; Chordata; Mammalia; Carnivora; Canidae. The record is from RNAcentral.